UCCCAGCCGUAAACGAUGCCGGCUAGGUGCUGACUGAGGUUUUGGCCUCGGUCAGUGUCGUAGCGAAGGCGUUAAGCUGGCCGCCUGAGGAGUACGGCCGCAAGGCUGAAACUUGAAGGAAUUGACGGGGGGGCACCACAAGGGGUGAAUGCCUGCGGCUUAAUUGGACUCAACGCCGGGAAUCUUACCGGGGGCGACAGCAGGAUGAAGGUCGGGCUGAAGACCUUACCAGA
Molecule: ribosomal RNA, 233 nt
Filed under: uncultured bacterium
Lineage: Bacteria
Description: partial 16S ribosomal RNA
Rfam family: Archaeal small subunit ribosomal RNA
Source: RNAcentral